Molecule: transfer RNA, 75 nt
Filed under: bacterium
Lineage: Bacteria
Also listed under: 1 other name
Description: tRNA-His
Rfam family: tRNA
About the family: Transfer RNA (tRNA) molecules are approximately 80 nucleotides in length. Their secondary structure includes four short double-helical elements and three loops (D, anti-codon, and T loops).
Source: RNAcentral
GUGGCUAUAGUACAACGGUUAGUACAUCGGGUUGUGGUCCCGAUGAACUGGGUUCGAUUCCCAGUAGCCACCCCA